Molecule: ribosomal RNA, 450 nt
Filed under: uncultured bacterium
Lineage: Bacteria
Description: bacterial SSU rRNA
Rfam family: Bacterial small subunit ribosomal RNA
Source: RNAcentral
GUGGGGAAUAUUGGACAAUGGGCGAAAGCCUGAUCCAGCCAUGCCGCGUGUGUGAAGAAGGACUUCGGAUUGUAAAGCACUUUAAGUUGGGAGGAAGGGCAGUAAGUUAAUACCUUGCUGUUUUGACGUUACCGACAGAAUAAGCACCGGCUAACUUCGUGCCAGCAGCCGCGGUAAUACGAAGGGUGCAAGCGUUAAUCGGAAUUACUGGGCGUAAAGCGCGCGUAGGUGGUUUUGUAAGUUGGAGGUGAAAUCCCCGGGCUCAACCUGGGAACGGCAUCCAAAACUGCAUGACUAGAGUACGGUAGAGGGUAGUGGAAUUUCCUGUGUAGCGGUGAAAUGCGUAGAUAUAGGAAGGAACACCAGUGGCGAAGGCGACUACCUGGACUGAUACUGACACUGAGGCACGAAAGCGUGGGGAUCGAACAGGAUUAGAUACCCUGGUAGUCC